GAUGAACGCUGGCGGCGUGCCUAAUACAUGCAAGUCGAGCGAACAGACGAGGAGCUUGCUCCUCUGACGUUAGCGGCGGACGGGUGAGUAGCACGUGGAUAACCUACCUAUAAGACUGGGAUAACUUCGGGAAACCGGAGCUAAUACCGGAUAAUAUAUUGAACCGCAUGGUUCAAUAGUGAAAGACGGUUUUGCUGUCACUUAUAGAUGGAUCCGCGCCGCAUUAGCUAGUUGGUAAGGUAACGGCUUACCAAGGCAACGAUGCGUAGCCGACCUGAGAGGGUGAUCGGCCACACUGGAACUGAGACACGGUCCAGACUCCUACGGGAGGCAGCAGCAGGGAAUCUUCCGCAAUGGGCGAAAGCCUGACGGAGCAACGCCGCGUGAGUGAUGAAGGUCUUCGGAUCGUAAAACUCUGUUAUUAGGGAAGAACAAAUGUGUAAGUAACUAUGCACGUCUUGACGGUACCUAAUCAGAAAGCCACGGCUAACUACGUG
Molecule: ribosomal RNA, 497 nt
Filed under: uncultured bacterium
Lineage: Bacteria
Description: partial 16S ribosomal RNA
Rfam family: Bacterial small subunit ribosomal RNA
Source: RNAcentral